This 433-nucleotide ribosomal RNA is filed under the name uncultured bacterium. RNAcentral's name for it is "partial 16S ribosomal RNA". It matches the Rfam family "Bacterial small subunit ribosomal RNA", at positions 29 to 507 of the family's 1533-position model. The record is from RNAcentral.
AACGAACGCUGGCAGCAUGCCUAACACAUGCAAGUCGAACGAGACCUUCGGGUCUAGUGGCGCACGGGUGCGUAACGCGUGGGAACCUGCCCUUAGGUUCGGAAUAACUCCCCGAAAGGGGUGCUAAUACCGGAUAAUGUCUUCGGACCAAAGAUUUAUCGCCUUUGGAUGGGCCCGCGUUGGAUUAGCUAGUUGGUAGGGUAAAAGCCUACCAAGGCGACGAUCCAUAGCUGGUCUGAGAGGAUGAUCAGCCACACUGGGACUGAGACACGGCCCAGACUCCUACGGGAGGCAGCAGUGGGGAAUAUUGGACAAUGGGCGAAAGCCUGAUCCAGCAAUGCCGCGUGAGUGAUGAAGGCCUUAGGGUUGUAAAGCUCUUUUACCCGGGAUGAUAAUGACAGUACCGGGAGAAUAAGCUCCGGCCAACUCCGUG